Anthonomus grandis grandis is the source of this 421-nucleotide long non-coding RNA. RefSeq lists it as uncharacterized. NCBI's taxonomy places the organism in Eukaryota, Metazoa, Arthropoda, Insecta, Coleoptera, Curculionidae. The transcript is spliced from 3 exons. The record is from RefSeq and is a predicted model, not a curated record.
UUUCAUUUAAAUCUACAAGUAAUUAAUAAUAACUAAUCAAGUUUUAUAAACAAAAUGUAUAUUUUUUUACCUGGUAAAAGAUAAUAAGAAUAAUUGUCAAUGUCAAUUUCAGGCUUUGACAGCUCAAAGAGUCAUCAGUUUUCUGAUCAUAUUUUCCAUCACUCCGGAAGGAAGGUUGUUGGACUUUUUCUGUUAUUUAAUUUUGUCAAAAUAAAUAAGAGGUACCUCUUGGUUCUUAGUUACAACUUAACUUAUCGAAAGGGAGUUAAAGAUAGGAACAGGCUGUAUAAGGUUGUUUUAGUAAAUAUAUCAUCAGGAGAUGUAUGUUUGUUAUCCCUAAAUUCAAUCUCAAAGUGCAAGAACAAAUAGAAAAAUUGUAACUACUGUAAAUGUAACUUUUAAUAUAUUCACUUAUUACUUC